This 28-nucleotide non-coding RNA is filed under the name Mus musculus (house mouse). Lineage: Eukaryota; Metazoa; Chordata; Mammalia; Rodentia; Muridae. The record is from RNAcentral.
UAGUUACCAAAAUAGGAUUUGGCCAGCA